This 467-nucleotide ribosomal RNA is filed under the name uncultured bacterium. RNAcentral's name for it is "partial 16S ribosomal RNA". It matches the Rfam family "Bacterial small subunit ribosomal RNA", at positions 28 to 507 of the family's 1533-position model. The record is from RNAcentral.
GAUGAACGCUGGCGGCGUGCUUAACACAUGCAAGUCGAACGGAAAGGCCCAAGCUUGCUUGGGUACUCGAGUGGCGAACGGGUGAGUAACACGUGGGUGAUCUGCCCUGCACUUCGGGAUAAGCCUGGGAAACUGGGUCUAAUACCGGAUAGGACCACUUCUUGGAUGUUGUGGUGGAAAGUUUUUUCGGUGUGGGAUGAGCUCGCGGCCUAUCAGCUUGUUGGUGGGGUAAUGGCCUACCAAGGCGUCGACGGGUAGCCGGCCUGAGAGGGUGUACGGCCACAUUGGGACUGAGAUACGGCCCAGACUCCGACGGGAGGCAGCAGUGGGGAAUAUUGCACAAUGGGCGCAAGCCUGAUGCAGCGACGCCGCGUGGGGGAUGACGGCCUUCGGGUUGUAAACUCCUUUCGCUAGGGACGAAGCGUUUUGUGACGGUAUCUGGAGAAGAAGCACCGGCUAACUACGUG